CGUAGGGAGCAAGCGUUGUCCGGAUUCACUGGGUGUAAGGGUGCGCAGGCGGAUUUGUUAGUCAGAGGUGAAAUCUCACGGCUUAACCGUGAAACUGCCUUUGAUACUGCAGAUCUUGAGUUUGGGAGAGGUUGAUGGAAUUCCAGGUGUAGCGGUGAAAUGCGUAGAUAUCUGGAAGAACACCAGUGGCGAAGGCGGUCAACUGGCCCAUAACUGACGCUCAGGCACGAAAGCGUGGGUAGCAAACAGGAUUAGAUACCCUGGUAGUCCACGCCUUAAACGAUGAAUACUUGGUGUUGGUUCUUAAUGAAUCAGUGCCGGAGGUAACCUGGUAAGUAUUCCACCUGGGGAGUACGCUCGCAAGGGUG
RNAcentral lists this ribosomal RNA (368 nucleotides) under uncultured organism. Its description in RNAcentral is "bacterial SSU rRNA". It matches the Rfam family "Bacterial small subunit ribosomal RNA", at positions 526 to 896 of the family's 1533-position model. The record is from RNAcentral.